RNAcentral lists this ribosomal RNA (335 nucleotides) under Salmonella enterica. RNAcentral describes it as "partial 23S ribosomal RNA". It matches the Rfam family "Bacterial large subunit ribosomal RNA", at positions 2608 to 2925 of the family's 2925-position model. Lineage: Bacteria; Pseudomonadati; Pseudomonadota; Gammaproteobacteria; Enterobacterales; Enterobacteriaceae. The record is from RNAcentral.
GGUUUAGAACGUCGUGAGACAGUUCGGUCCCUAUCUGUCGUGGGCGCUGGAGAACUGAGGGGGGCUGCUCCUAGUACGAGAGGACCGGAGUGGACGCAUCACUGGUGUUCGGGUUGUCAUGCCAAUGGCACUGCCCGGUAGCUAAAUGCGGAAGAGAUAAGUGCUGAAAGCAUCUAAGCACGAAACUUGCCCCGAGAUGAGUUCUCCCUGAGACUUAGAGUCUCCUGAAGGAACGUUGAAGACGACGACGUUGAUAGGCCGGGUGUGUAAGCGCAGCGAUGCGUUGAGCUAACCGGUACUAAUGAACCGUGAGGCUUAACCUUACAACGCCGAAG